GUAGGUAUUUACCCUGGGGUCUGGGAUAGCGGCGGGAAACUGCCGGUAAUACCAGAUGAUAUCUCCGGAUCAAAGGUGUGAUUCCGCCCUAGGAGAAGCCUGCGGUCUAUUAGCUAGUUGGUAGGGUAACGGCCUACCAAGGCAAAGAUGGAUAUGGGGCGUGAGGGCGUGCCCCCACUCACUGGGACUGAGACACUGCCCAGACACCUACGGGUGGCUGCAGUCGAGAAUCUUCGGCAAUGGGCGCAAGCCUGACCGAGCGACGCCGCGUGCGGGAUGAAGGCCUUCGGGUUGUAAACCGCUGUCGAAGGGGAGGAAAUUGUAGUGGGUUCACCCAUUAUAUUGACCGAUCCUUGGAGGAAGGGCCGGCUAAUCUCGUGCCAGCAGCCGCGGUAAUACGAGAGGCCCAAACGUUAUUCGGAUUUACUGGGCUUAAAGAGUUCGUAGGCGGUUCGGUAAGUGAGGUGUGAAAGCCCUCGGCUCAACCGAGGAAUUGCGCUUCAAACUGCCGGGCUC
This 516-nucleotide ribosomal RNA is filed under the name uncultured Planctomycetota bacterium. RNAcentral's name for it is "bacterial SSU rRNA". It matches the Rfam family "Bacterial small subunit ribosomal RNA", at positions 117 to 643 of the family's 1533-position model. The record is from RNAcentral. Lineage: Bacteria; Pseudomonadati; Planctomycetota.